CCUACGGGUGGCAGCAGUGAGGAAUAUUGGUCAAUGGACGAGAGUCUGAACCAGCCAAGUAGCGUGAAGGAUGACUGCCCUAUGGGUUGUAAACUUCUUUUAUAGGGGAAUAAAAUGUUCCACGUGUGGGAUUUUGUAUGUACCAUAUGAAUAAGGAUCGGCUAACUCCGUGCCAGCAGCCGCGGUAAUACGGAGGAUCCGAGCGUUAUCCGGAUUUAUUGGGUUUAAAGGGAGCGUAGGUGGUUUGUUAAGUCCGUUGUGCACGUUUGCGGCUCACCCGUAAAAUUGCAGUUGAAACGGGCAGUCUUGAGUACAGUAGAGGUGGGCGGAAUUCGUGGUGUAGCGGUGCACUGCUU
RNAcentral lists this ribosomal RNA (356 nucleotides) under uncultured bacterium. Its description in RNAcentral is "partial 16S ribosomal RNA". It matches the Rfam family "Bacterial small subunit ribosomal RNA", at positions 338 to 691 of the family's 1533-position model. The record is from RNAcentral.